Molecule: long non-coding RNA, 3146 nt
Organism: Xiphias gladius (swordfish)
Lineage: Eukaryota; Metazoa; Chordata; Actinopteri; Istiophoriformes; Xiphiidae
Exons: 3
Source: RefSeq, a predicted model, not a curated record
GCUCAUUCACGUCUGUGUCAGCUGACGUGAGGUCAGUUGGAUGAGACACACAGAGACGUGUGGCUUAGGUGGGAAAGUCCAACCUCACGCUCACAGGUGUGUUAUUGUCUGCAAGUUGAAUGGAGGCGGGACUCCGAAUGAAACCAAAGCUUCACCUCGUGAAUUAAGCCGCACACCACAGAAGAAGACGCGGGUGUCGUUCCAGCUGGAGAGGACGGACGGACGGAUCUGAGCCGUCUUCAUCCUGCUGUUAGUUUCUGCGUCUGAAACAAAGAGCCACAGAUGGACAGACUGUCUGAUUGGCUAACGGUCGCUGACACUGCCGCCAUGUCAUUAAGUGGGCGGGACCAGGUGGUCUCACUGUUCUCUGGUUAAACCGUCAGCCAGAGCCGUUGUCGGGGGCAACACACAGUUUGGAAACGCAACCACAGACGCAGAGAUGAAGGAGGGUGAUGCAACUCGACCUGCAGCAGGAUGACGGAGGACAGGCGGCGCGCUGUUUUAAACAAACUGCAGUUCGUUUGUGCUGCGACAUCUGGACGAUAAGGACACGGAGGAGGAGAGGAAGUGUCCACUGUUUCCAGGACAAAAGACUAUUGUGACUCCUGAGUCGACCUGAGAAAGUCUGCGACGAGCGGCGGUGAGCGUUCACAUCAGGACAACAAUGCACCGCCUGAGCAGCAGCGUCGGCAGACCGCGAAGAGAAUAGACGAGAACAGAGCACGAGGAGAGAUCAGAGUCGGAGUCAAGGCUGCCGCACUCUCGUGUGUAACCAGGACAAAGGCAGGAAGACGUUAAGACCUGAGACAGAGCUGGGAGAACUGGGAGAGUUUUGUCUCUCACCAGUAUCGUGACACACCUGGGCAAUUAGUGGGUCAGACAUUAGAGUCAAAGUCACAGUCAGAACUUGGUCAGACAUUUGCCAAAACAUAUGUUAACUCUGCUGGGCCGUCUGUGGUAAUAUGGGAUUUAAAUGUUGGUUUCGUCCCAUGCAAACAUCUAUCUGAGUGAACAGAAGACGACCCGCUGCUGGGACACUGAAAAGUCACACCGGUGAAACCGGUAUGUUCCUGCAGCGCACUGAGGUUGUUUCCUCGACUGCGCCGUUUUGGUGAAGUGGAGGGUGUGGAGACGCAAAUCCAGCAGCGCGCUGCAAAAGCACACAUGAAAUAACACCCAAACACCGAGGGGUUGAAGAUUAAAACGUAUAAUGUAGAAUAUGGAGACAAUAUCUUCCAGAAGUCAGAGGAAAAGUAGACGGGGGAUGUUGGGCCUCUGUAAAUAAUAUCGUAAAGAUCACAGUCUGGACCUGCUCUAUAUGAAAAGUGCCCUGAGAAAACUUGACUUAAAUGGAUUCCACUAUUUAUAGUAUUCCAUCAAAAAGAGUUCACACACGAUUGGUUCUCUGUGGCUUAUAUUAGAAAGUCGACCAAUGGAAAACUGCCAGACCCUAGAAAGAGUCAAGGUCAACAUCGACACCAGCCUUCAUGGUCACCUCAAGCACAGGACACCAGUCCUGGGGGGCUCAUUCUCAAGAACGUGCUGAGGAUGCAGUAUUUUUAGAGCAAUAAAAAUACUAAAUAAAGGGAUUAAGGAUGAGUAAGCCUAUGGUGAAACUGCAACUUAGUUUAAAAAAUUAAGGUCUCUUAAAGGUAUAUAGUGAGGGAUGGCUUUCAUGGUUUUUUAUUUUGGUUUUAAGGGGUUUCUACUUCCUUAAAGGCCCUUAAACGGUGCAGAUAAUGAUUUUUACAUCAAUACCUCAAUGUAUCAUAUUCUUGUCAUUUAUCAACGAAUUAUCCCCAUUAAAAUCCUUUAAUUACAACAUAAUUAAUGGGUAAAUUAAGAUAAAAAUCAAGGGAUGCAGAACAUGUCCCCCAGUGACACAGUUUGUGGAAACAGUGGAGCUCUUGGGCUCAGAGGGAUCAGAUCCAUCAGGUUGAGGAUACACAAACAGUACUUGUUAGUAGAAGAUAUUCAGUCUUGAUUUGGGAUUUGAUGACAAACCUUUUCCUGUGAGCCAUCUGGAGUCUGACCACUUUCUAUUUAUGCACCGGGAGAGAACAGGAAGCUGUCAGCAGCCAAAACAUCGACCUCUGGAUGUCACGACGGUUCCCAGGAGGAGGAAGAGGAGGAAUCCAGUCAAACACCACCACACGUUUCAGUGAGUGGAGGAUAUAGCGUCAGCUAAUGUAGAGAAACGACUCUCUUAGCAUCAGAAGACCCCGACCCAGUCUGUAGUUCUGCACGGUCAGGGAAUUUCACACAAAUCAAUGAUGAGAUUUAGCUGUAGUUUUUACAAGAGAAAAGCUGUAACUAUGACUUUAGUUGCAAAAUGUCUGUCUUCCUUUUCCCUCUACAGCUCUGUCACGAAAAUCAGACAAAAAUUGGAUGUUUAUUAUACUGUUGACAUUGUUUUUUAGGUGCUCUGGUAGGAGACUGAACUGAAACUUUACUUGCUACACUUUCUACACUCGGACUUAGAAUUGAUUUUCAGUUGAGCCGCAGCUCAUCUUCUGUCGGCAGCAGAUGGUUGAAGGAGUGAAAGGCUGAAGAAUAAAAUCACCUCCGGCAUGUUUAUCCUAUUUGGUGAUAAUGAGGGAGGUCAGGACUGUACAGGACUGAUGGGAAACAUGGUCUUAAUAUAUAGAGACAUUAACGAUGACAAUACAACCAGCGGCUCUCGCCGUCACGCUCUGAUUGGCUUGCAGGCCGAAGCUGGAACAUUAAACCGACAGAUGUUAAAGAUGAAACUCGGAGCGGAUUCCAAACUCUUCCUGACCACUCGCAGCUCUGCAGUCUGUCAUCAACACGCUGAUCCCAGCUGGUUAAUUAAAAACAGACGAUUGGCUGCUAAUUGGGCGUCUUCAGCCUCCACCCCCCCAUCCCUCCACCCCCCCCAGCUCGUCAAAGUCUGCCGAGCCUCGCUGGACCAGCUGCUGCCUGUCUGAGACUCCCACAGCCUGAACACAUGGAGCAUCAACAGCAGUGAAGUUUCCCUGGAGAACAAUGACAGUGACACUAUGAUUACUGACUGCUAUUUUAUUUUGUUGUAUGUAAUUUAUUAUCGUCUCUUUGGUGCACUGUGCUGUUUUGUCAGCUAUGUAUUGUAUUUGACCGAAACUGUGUGUGGGACUGUAGCCAAAGUC